RNAcentral lists this unclassified non-coding RNA (265 nucleotides) under Chytridiomycota sp. Its description in RNAcentral is "partial contains small subunit ribosomal RNA, internal transcribed spacer 1, and 5.8S ribosomal RNA". The stretch from base 1 to 47 matches the Rfam family "Eukaryotic small subunit ribosomal RNA", at positions 1785 to 1831 of the family's 1831-position model. The record is from RNAcentral. Lineage: Eukaryota; Fungi; Chytridiomycota.
AAAGUCGUAACAAGGUAACCGUAGGUGAACCUGCGGUUGGAUCAUUACUGAAUGUAUCCGGCUUUGGCCGUUUCCCCAGUCCUUUAUUGGUCUUGGGGAAAACCAUCCCACCUUUUGUGAACUGUCAUUUUGUUCUGACGGUGAAGUCUGGCGCAAGUCAGAUCAGCUGUCAAACACAUGUUUUAACAUUUUUCUAUUUAUAUCUGUCUUACAUUUUAGUAUUUAAAUAUACAAACAACUUUUGGCAACGGAUCUCUUGGCUCUC